CAAUGGGCGAAAGCCUGAUGCAGCAACGCCGCGUGCGGGAAGAAGGCCCUAGGGUUGUAAACCGCUUUCAGCAGGGAAGAAAAUGACGGUACCUGCAGAAGAAGGUGCGGCCAACUACGUGCCAGCAGCCGCGGUGACACGUAGGCACCAAGCGUUGUCCGGAUUUAUUGGGCGUAAAGAGCUCGUAGGCGGUUCAGUAAGUCGGGUGUGAAAACUCUGGGCUCAACCCAGAGACGCCACCCGAUACUGCUGUGACUUGAGUACGGUAGGGGAGUGGGGAAUUCCUGGUGUAGCGGUGAAAUGCGCAGAUAUCAGGAGGAACACCAGUGGCGAAGGCGCCACUCUGGGCCGUAACUGACGCUGAGGAGCGAAAGCGUGGGGAGCAAACAGGAUUAGAUACCCUGGUAGUCCACGCCGUAAACGUCGGGCACUAGGUGUGGGUCUCAACCAACGAGAUCCGCGCCGUCGCUAACGCAUUAAGUGCCCCGCCUGGGGAGUACGGUCGCAAGACUA
RNAcentral lists this ribosomal RNA (513 nucleotides) under uncultured Actinomycetes bacterium. Its description in RNAcentral is "bacterial SSU rRNA". It matches the Rfam family "Bacterial small subunit ribosomal RNA", at positions 369 to 896 of the family's 1533-position model. The record is from RNAcentral. Lineage: Bacteria; Bacillati; Actinomycetota; Actinomycetes.